RNAcentral lists this ribosomal RNA (467 nucleotides) under uncultured bacterium. RNAcentral's name for it is "partial 16S ribosomal RNA". It matches the Rfam family "Bacterial small subunit ribosomal RNA", at positions 29 to 507 of the family's 1533-position model. The record is from RNAcentral.
ACGAACGCUGGCGGCGUGCUUAACACAUGCCAGUCGAACGGAAAGGCCCUGCUUUUGUGGGGUGCUCGAGUGGCGAACGGGUGAGUAACACGUGAGUAACCUGCCCUUGACUUUGGGAUAACUUCAGGAAACUGGGGCUAAUACCGGAUAGGAGCUCCUGCUGCAUGGUGGGGGUUGGAAAGUUUCGGCGGUUGGGGAUGGACUCGCGGCUUAUCAGCUUGUUGGUGGGGUAGUGGCUUACCAAGGCUUUGACGGGUAGCCGGCCUGAGAGGGUGAACGGCCACAAUGGGACUGAGGUACGGACCAGACUCCUACGGGAGGCAGCAGUGGGGAAUAUUGCACAAUGGGGGGAAGCGUGAUGCAGCGACGCCCCGUGUGGGAUGACGGCCUUCGGGUUGUAAACCGCUGUCGCCUGUGACGAAGCGUGAGUGACGGUAAUGGGUAAAGAAGCACCGGCUAACUACGUG